GCGCGCGUCAUCAGGCGGCGGCGGCUCCUGCCGGGCUCGGCACCACCUCCGUCCUUGUCCCGGCGGCUCCGGCAACCUCGAGGUGAGGCCGGCCCGUCCCCGCAGAGCCGCGGGCCCGAGGUAGCUACACCCGCUCCCAGGGCUGGAGUGGUUCUUGUCCGCACCCGUGGGGUUCAAGGAGGAGCGCUGUAGCCCCGAGGCGGCUCUGCCGUGGAUGGAAGAGGCGGGGAAAGCUCGGCUCCAGCGGAGGGCAGCGAGGAUGAUUGGAAGAGUGGAACAUCUCUCGUAGGAGGAAAGGCUGGGGGAGCUGGGCCUGAUCAGCUUCGAGAAGAGACGGCUGAGAGGAGACCUCAUUCAUAAGUAUCUAAAAGAAGAGUGCCAAAAGGAUGGACCAGGCUGUACCCACAGGUGCAGAAUUAUAGGAUAGGAAGCAAUGGGCAGAAACUGAUGCACAGAAGUUCCCCCUGACUGUAAGGAAGAACUUCUUUACUGUGCCGUGGCUGCACAUCUAAUAGAUUGCCGAGAGAGGUUGAGGACUGUCCCUCCGUGGAGAUAUUCCAGAACCAUUUGGAUGUCAUCCUGUGCCAUGCGUUCUGGGGUGAUCCUUCUUGAGCAGGGAGCUGGAGACAGAUGACCCCCUGUGGUCCCAUUGAACCUCACCCAUCCUGGGGUUUUGUGAGCCCCUGCAGAGCUGAAAGGAAAAAAAUCAGGAGGCUGAUGCAAAAACACCAACUGUUCAUGCUGUUGAGAUGUCCUGUAUUCCAUUGUUAAUGGAACCAGCAUGUUCCAGCUCUAAGGUACAGGGAGCUGCAAAAACAAGGAAUAAUGCUGCUAUCUCCAGAUUUUUGGUUCCUCUUUCUGACCAUAAUGAAAGCAAAGAGUCAAAAUCUAUUCAAAGAAAGAGAGUGCUUCCAUCUUGGAUAUUGGAAAGAGAUCUUCUGUUGCAGAGGGUUUCCAAGCCUGUUACGAUGGGAGGUAGUAGAAAGAAAACAGGCCAAGGAAGGGGAGAAGGUCUUACAGAGUCAUUAAAAUCAGCAGUACAUGUACAGCAGAAAAAAAGAUUACCUGCUGAAGAAACUAUAGAGGAUUUUGAAGGUGGAGAGCAAGAUCAAGAGAAAACAAGCUGCCUUCCCAUUCCUAUUCCUUUAUUUCAGGUAACUUCUUGGCUCAGGGCAGAGCCAUGAUACUGCAAAAAAUGAGAAUGUAGUUGGCAAUGUCAUGUUGAAGGUUGGGUCUACAACAUAACUUUUUGUUCUAUGUGUUCUGAUCAUGAUUUGUUGUUUUGAAAUACCAGUCUUUUGGAUAGCUCUAUAGCAAGGAUCAUGGAAGCCUCAGAGAUUUGGUUUUCUGCAUUUCCUUCAAGGGAUCUGGGACUUGGACCUCGAAUGUCCCACGGAAGUACCAGACUGAGAACUUUGCAGCAAGAAGCAGUAUUCCGGCCUCCUGCUGAGAACAGAUUUGCCCCCGAGCACGCAGCAUGGGCUGGAUAGCUCAGUCCUUAGGGGACAGACUGCCCGAAACCUAAGCCGCUCUCAGCCGCUGGCUACCUUUAGCAAGCGUAACGUUUAUCAGCUCUUUUUGGUGAUUAUCAGCUCUUUUGAGUUCAGCUCUUUUGCUUGCUGAGGUGUUGCACAGGUCAGCCGGCAGGCAGACGUGAGAGAGGAGAAGGCCAUUCUGGUGUUCCACAGCGAUGGCUUUAUUGGGGGUCUGUGAAGGUUUCCAGCAAUGGCUUUUCUCACCAGAAUGGGCUAAAUCAGCCCAUUAUAUAGGGCAAGGGGGGAUCAGAAAUUGUCCAAUAGCAGAGGUUAAGGAGAAGUGACCUAUGGGAUUACAGAGAGAUAAGCUGGGGUCCAAAAAGGCGGGAGAGAGGGGCUUCUUUUGCUGUUUCACCGUGACUUGGCAUUUUAAGCCUCUUCCCUCCACGGGGCCCAAGCAGGCCCGGAGCCUGCUACAAAGCAGGAGCACAUGGGCCAGAGCACUGCUCCUAGGAGUGGCUGGUGCAUGCAGCUUCCUUUUCUGACAACCUUUGGGGAUAGGUGAUGGUGUGAAACUGAUGCAAUGCAACACUUAUCUUUAGGAAGGCAAGUCUUAGGUACUGGUAAUAGGGAGUAGGAGUCUGUAUGUGCGCAUUUCUUCCCGAGUCUCUUGUUUGUGAAACAUUUGGCAGCAAUACUUUUGGAAAGUAUUGCUUUAUAAAAAGAAAAGAAUGUUCUGAAAUAACAAAUAGCAGUUAUACUGUGUCAGGGAGAAAAAUAGAGAGAAUUUUGUAAAUAGGGAGAAUCAAAAUGUCAGCUUUGAUCUUCAGGAAAUGUUAUGAAACUCUACUUGUUUGCUUGCAGCAAAAGAAAUAUGCUUUGUAGUCUGCCUUUGUAUUUGCUUUUAGUUCAAGGCCCCUAAGUAGUUGUUUCUGUGUGGUGGCAAAAGCGUGUUAGAGCAAAGAUUAUAUGUUAAUUCUAGUUAUUUGACUACAUUUCUAUUAGCCUGUAGCAAACAUUUAGCAAGUAAAUGUAACUCAUAGUUUAGUUCCUUCAUUUAUGAAUUUGAAAACACUGCUUUUGAAAGAAUUAAACUUGAUGCACACCUCUUGCUCCAA
Molecule: long non-coding RNA, 2593 nt
Organism: Serinus canaria (Common canary)
Lineage: Eukaryota; Metazoa; Chordata; Aves; Passeriformes; Fringillidae
Exons: 4
Source: RefSeq, a predicted model, not a curated record